This 232-nucleotide small nuclear RNA is filed under the name Chlorocebus sabaeus (green monkey). RNAcentral's name for it is "7SK RNA". It matches the Rfam family "7SK RNA". Rfam says of the family: 7SK was discovered as an abundant small nuclear RNA in the mid-70s but a possible function has only recently been suggested. Two independent studies have found that 7SK RNA binds the CDK9/cyclin T complex (known as elongation factor P-TEFb). P-TEFb activates transcription by phosphorylating the C-terminal domain of RNA polymerase II. Lineage: Eukaryota; Metazoa; Chordata; Mammalia; Primates; Cercopithecidae. The record is from Rfam by way of RNAcentral.
GGAUGUGAGGGUGAUCUGGCUGUGACAUGUGUCACCUCAUCGAUCACCAGGGUUGAUUCAGCUGACCUUGCUGGCAAGGUGGGCGUCCCUUUCUUCCCUCACCACUCAGUGUCCUUCCUGAAAGCUGCUAGAACCUCCAAACAAGCUCUCAAGUAUUCACUACCUUUGUUUUUAAUAUAAUUUACUUAAUUGCAGGUAUAUAUAUAUAUAUAUAUAUAUAUAUAUAUAAUUU